AAGAAGCAGAACACAAGAAACGUGAGAAACUUUGAGAAGACCAAGAAGAAGAAGCAGAAGAAGAAGAAAAUGAAAUUGGUUUGGUCUCCGGAAACAGCAUCAAAGG
This 106-nucleotide small RNA is filed under the name Arabidopsis thaliana (thale cress). RNAcentral's name for it is "ATSL008080". The record is from RNAcentral. Lineage: Eukaryota; Viridiplantae; Streptophyta; Magnoliopsida; Brassicales; Brassicaceae.